Molecule: ribosomal RNA, 253 nt
Filed under: uncultured bacterium
Lineage: Bacteria
Description: partial 16S ribosomal RNA
Rfam family: Bacterial small subunit ribosomal RNA
Source: RNAcentral
GACAGAGGGUGCAAACGUUGUUCGGAAUUACUGGGCGUAAAGCGUGUGUAGGCGGCUAUGUAAGUCGGAUGUGAAAGCCCCAGGCUCAACCUGGGAAGUGCACUCGAUACUGCGUAGCUUGAGUACUGGAGAGGUUGGUGGAAUUCUCGGUGUAGAGGUGAAAUUCGUAGAUAUCGAGAGGAACACCGGUGGCGAAGGCGGCCAACUGGACAGAUACUGACGCUGAGACACGAAAGCGUGGGGAGCAAACAGG